GGGGAAGAUAGCAAGUCCUAACACAAAGAAAGCACAGGAAACUCACCCCACCCAGCCUGAGAAAGUUCAGAGCUGGCCUGCUGUAAAAUGUCCUGACUAGGUCUUUGCUAGCCAUCCGCCAUAGUGGGUGGAUAAAAGACCCGAGCUAACAUGGGGUUAGCUCGUUAAACAACAAUAAAGCCUCAUGCAGUUUGCAGCAAGUUUUCGAAUCUGCCUGGUGAUUGGGGUGAUUGGAGGCCUGAAUUUUCCUGGGGUCUAACAUUUGGGGGCUCGUCCUGGAUUUUUGACCACUCCUCACCUAAGUGGAUUCGAUCUUGGAGAUGUGCCCGCAGGAUCACAGACUGCUGUCCUGAGGACACCCAGAGGUACGAACAGAGGCCAAGGACCCUUCGACCCUCCUCAGUUAGCAGCGAUUGUAGCCGCCUGGUUUUGCCAUCCGUCUUCCCGGCGCCAUUGCCUUAUAAGCGGUGUGGAUGGAUUGGGUUGGCAUCUGUUCUUUCCUGUCUAUUCUGUCUCUGUGUUUUCAUCGUUGGUUUUCAAUUCAGGAUCUACCACGACACCCCCUUUCGUUGAGUCACGUGGCACCACACUAGGUAACUUUCUUUUCCAGUCUUUGUUUCUGUAAGGUUUCUGUAAGCCUGGAGGGUUGGAAUGGGCUGGGUGACUGGGCAGUUGAUCAGCAGGUUUGUUAUCUAUGUUAUCUGAUCUGUUGCAGUCCACACCCUCACCACCUGCUUUUCGGUGGUGUGUCAGUUUUACUGCUUCUGUUAAUUUUGUAAAUGUAAAGGUCCUAUAUUAGGGUUUCUAGUGGCAUCUAUAAGUAGGCCUACAAGAAUUGUUUAGGGCGGAAGUUCUGGCAGCAGCAUUCCGAAAUCUGUAGAGGAGACUUGGUUUCGGACCAAGUUGAUCUCCAUGGGGCUAGCCAUCUGAAAUUCCAAAUAGGACCCUAGUCUGUGUUAAACAUCUCUUUCUGUCCCUACUGCCCACGUACAUGGCAUACAUGGGUCAGGGGUCUUUUCUUGCUGCCCUGAGCACAUGGUGCGCCCCGGUUAGGGUUAGAAUGUGCUGUGGCGGAGUCCCCUGAGGCUGCUACUCUUAAUUCCAACCAUUGCUGUGGCACUACAGCUGAGCCUGGCCGAUGUAGGUGAGUCUUUUUCUAUCCCCACCUUCGGGUCUGUGAGACAUGCGAAGUGGGGCUGUCUCUGCCCCAACUGCCAUCCUGCCAUGGGUCCUGGCUUGCUGCAGGAGUUUCCCUGCUCUGAGGGAACAUGGCUGCAAGGCCGCCAUCUGCCUGGCUGCAUGGCCUUCUCUGUGCUCCACACACAUGGUAUACAGGGGGGCCACCGGGGUCUUUUUUCCACCCCUGCAUUGGCCAAGAGUCUGGGAUUACCAGCAGCAACCCCCCCAGGUCUCUGCCUUGAGCACAUGGAGCUGGGGCCUAUGAACUUAUCUGGCAUGAUCCAGACUUCUAAAAAAAACAGACUUAAAGUUAUUAAAAACUAUAAAAGGGACUUUGAUAUGAAUUUUUAUGUUGACUGAGAAAUGAGAGAGAAUGUACUAAAGUAAUAAAGAGAGAAAGGGAAAGAGAAAUUUGUCUAAGAAUGUCUAAGAAAAUCAGAGGAAUAAACCAAAGGUAUAUAGAAAGUUAUAGAGGGUUAAAGCAAGUCGUAGAAGGUUAGAGAAAAGGUUGUUAAAAGAGAAAAAUGUAAACUGUUUGCUAUGGUUUCUCAUGUCUACAAAUAGUAAAUUUUAAAAAUUGGUAAUAUAAGUUAAAAUUUUAACCAUAUUAAGUUAAUUCUGUUUAAAAAUUCCUGUUUAUUUCUCAAGUAAAUUAUGUAUACUUGUUUUAAAAUGUUCUGUUUCCUGGCAUAACCUAAGUUCUGUUACAAGCAUGUAGCUAAAAUAAAUGAUGAGGGUCACCGCCAUUUUGUAGCCAGCCACGUGGCACAAAAUGACUGGUAGCCAUUUUGCUAAAGUUGAAAAAAGAUAUUUAAACCACCAUCUUGACUAAAGAUGACCGCAUGGAAAUUAGAGGUACCAUCUUAGAAACAAGUUUUUCAGUUAAGAUUUAAAAUGUUAAUGCUUCUAUAUACUACAGAAAGACAUUAAUGGAAUUUAAAUUUCUUUUUAAAACCAUUUUUUAAUGUUUAUGUUUUUUAAUGUCUUUUUAUUAAUGUUUGUACUUAAAGAGUUUCAAUUUAGAAUCAUUUUUAAGCAAAGCCUGACAAUGUAAAGUUCUUGUUUUAUAAAAGAUGCUAAUCUAUUAUAAGAUGUUACAGUUUAUGUUUUCAGAAGUUAAGUUUAGGGCAUUGGUGGAACGCGCCUUUAUGUUUAGGGCAUUGGUGGCACAUGCCUUUAAUCCCACCACUUGGAGGCAGAGGCGGGUGGUUCUUUGUGAGUUCAGGGCCAGACUGGUAGACAGAGUGAAUUCCAGGACAAGCUCCAAAGUCACAGAAAAACCAUGUCUCAGAAAGAAGUUUAAGCAAGCAGCUAAAAUAUGUACAUGUAGCUACUGUUUAAGGACUAUAAGGUAACUCUAUGCAAUUUUAAAUUCAACUGUGCUAAGUUAAAACCAGUUACAGUCAAGCUGAAAAUUAAUUACAGAAAUAAGACCUUACCUAGCCACCUGUAUGCUUCUUGUGUGCUUAGGGAAAGUAACUAAAACAGACAGACAGACAGACUUCUAAUGCUUCAGAGAACUGCAGAAUAUGGCAUUUAAAUUGUUAUCUUUAAAGUUUAUAAUAUCAGACAGACUGCCAGAUCCUGACAGUGACCCUAAGUCCCCAAAGAAGAUUAUGAGGCACCCCAGUUCCUGCACCUGGACCAGUGAGCAAGAUGCUCAGAUGUGAUACCUGCUGCCCGCCAGGACCUGGCCAAGACUGUGGACAAAGCUGCUGGACACUGGAAAAUUGAUUACACCUCAUUUGCCUAGACAAAACAAGGUCAGUCUUUUCCAUGUCCCUCUUCCACAGAGAGGAAAAAAAAAAGAAAAGAAAAGAAAAGAAAAGAAACAACCUCUCACCUUAUAGGCCUGCCGAAGAUUGAUAUUCUUUGAGACAUCUGCCUCCAGUGGUAAAGGAGAAACUUGGGUAUGGCAAACUAUAUAUGGACUGGCUUCUGUCACUUUUUAGUAGAUUCGGAUAAAAUAUACCCUUCUCAGAUCUCUAAAAUAUUAAUUGUUGUCAGCUUGACAGCAUCAGACAGUCAGAUCCAGCAUGUUAGCUGAUAAAGUAAUGACUACCUACUGUUCAGUCACAAGCUCAAGGUUUUUAGGUUUAUUUUGGUUGUCAUCUAAGUACAAACUUAAAGGGCUUAUCAUCAGGCCAAAGGCACCUCUGUCCAAUCCAUACCUGGCUCUCUGGACAGAAGAAAAAUGUACAUGCUUAUAGCCCAAAUCUGUAGUUUUUGCUAGGACUCAAAGUUAUAAAUAUGUUCCUGCUGUUUGAACAGAUAUCCAGAUAUCUGCCUUUUCUGCACUGUGGGCUUCAGUAAAUAAGUUUUAACCUCUGUUCCUAGUUUAAACAUGUCUUAAACAGGUUUCUGCUCUGGCAGACAUCUGAGUAUCAGUUGUUGACUACAGGCUGUUCUAAGUAGACUGCGAGCCCUGGACUUGCUGUGGAUAUGAACCAGUCCAGCUGAUGUGGACACCCCCUGUCUCUUCAACAGAGUCUGCCAACAGCCCCUGAUGGAUUCCCCAUUGCCUAAAUUCCUUUUUGCUUUUGACUAGCAUUUCAACCUUCUAGGGUCCCUAACUUUGUCCCAAAGUCAGCAGGAAGUAGCAUGGGAAAGAAUACGUUGUCCAUUUUCCCUGGUUAAAAUGCUAAGUCAGAAGGAACUCCCUUGCAUGAGGAUGCCAAUAUCUCUCACUCCCUGAUGGGGGCGCUAGAGAGACAAUAAUUCCAUGAUUGGAAUUUCCAAAAAAAGAAAAUUGAGGAAUGAAGGGACCAGCUGCCCCUUUCGGCAGCCAUGACAGUAACACGUGUUCGCCAUGACCUUGCCUUGGUUACUUAGGGGUCAGAUGCCUGCCUCGCGGCAAGGAACCAAUCAGAAGUUAGCUGGUGGCGCUAUGCUUUAAGGCUCUGGGUGUGCUGUAUGGACAAGUGCACAGCAAUGACGCACAGAGCAUAGCAACCACCCUGGGAGGGCCUGUGGGCCAUAACAACCAAUUGGCCAAUCAACACAGGGCAAGCCCUCCAAGCCUGGAGGCACACCAAUCCUGAGCCUGUGCGAACCCCUAGACACUCCCCUUACGCUGCCCUACAAGAUCUCUCUGCAGCUGGUUGGAGCUGUCUUUGCUAGCCAUCUGCCAUGGCGGGUGGGUGAAAGACCCGAGCUAACAUGGGGUUAGCUCGUUAAACAACAAUAAAGUCUCAUGCAGUUUACAGAAAAAAAAAUGUUCUGACUAUUAUCACCACUGGUUACAAAAUUUGAAGAAGUGAUGGAAUACUAUGUAUUUUAUGCAUUUUGAACUGUAAUGGUCCAUAUUUGAAUUUUGGCAUUGUGUUUAAUCCAGCCUAUGCUCCACUGCACAGAUUUUAAUUUUUAACAUAAUUAUUUUAGUUUUGAUAUUGUAAUAUAAUUACACCCUUUCUUCCUUUCCUUUCUGACCUUUAAACUCUGCCAUAUACCCCUCCUUUCUCUCUUUCAAAUCCUUUUUUUAUUAACUGUUGUUACAUACAAGCAUACAUGCACACAUAUAUUCCUACAUACAUAAAUACUCCCUGCUUAAUCUGUAUAAUGUUAUUCAUAUGUAUGUUUUCAGGGCUGGCCAUUUGGUAAUGGAUAACCAAUUGGUAUGCCAUUCCUGGGGGGAGACUAUUUCUCGCACUCUCAGCAUUCCUUAGUUGUCUGUAGUUCUUUGUGUAGGGUUCUGUGGGUUUUCUCCCAUCCACUAUGCAUGUCUGUUGGUGUCAUCUUUAUUCACCUCAUGUGUAGGCAGAUGUGUUGGUAAGAGUUUAUGAGUAUACCUUCUGAUAUUCUUCAGAGACAUACAUAGACUACAGCAAACUCCAUGAUUCUCUGGCUCUGACAAUCUUUCUGCUGCCUCUUCCAGCCUUAGGUAUAGGAGUGUUUCAUAGACACAUUCACUGAGACUGACCUCCACAAUUCACAUUUUUAUUAGUUGUGGUUCUCUAUAAUGAUCUAUGUCUAUUGCAAAGAGAGGUUUCCUUAAUGAGGGAUAAGGAUUACACUUAUCUGUGGGUAUAAGGACAAAUAUUUAGAGUGUAGUUAGGGAUUAUACUGAUGUAAUAAAGGGGUGGUUGUAGGCUCUCCUCUGAUAGCCAUGCCUUCACUAGCCUUGGGAUGGAUGGUACUGUCUCUUGUUGAGCAGCUUGUCUCAGCUUUGUCUCUUAAUGAGCGGCUCUUAAGUUUAGUUAGAGAGCUGUUGGUUGCUGGGUUUUGCUAAGCUAUUCUAUUACCAAUAAAAACUCUAGAGUCAGAUAUUGGGGUGAAAACCUUGUAGAUCAGAGAAGCAGAGGAGGAGUGACCUGCUGAUCUUCCCUUUCUUAUCAGAGACCCAGUCAGCACCUCUUCUCUCCACACAUCCCAGGAAGAAGAGCAUGCAAAUUCCAAGUCCCGCCUUUCUCCUUCCUCUCAUUCUUCCCUAUCCAUAUUUCUGGCUACUCUGUGACUAAUUCCGGUCGCUGGCUCUGCCCACCAAUUCAAAGGUAACUUUAAAUUUGUAUCAAUAUAAAAAAAUCCAAACCAAUGUAAAUUUUUUUUAGAUUACUUGCUGCUUUUUGGAUUAAAGUAGAUUCAAUAAUCUACCCUUUCCAUCUAUUAUUCUUAUCUCUCUUUUUCUUUCAGAAAGAGAUCCCUUAAUCUAUCCUCUAAGACCAAUAACAACCUGGAACUAAUUCCUCUAAAUAGUGAAAAACAUCCACAACCCACAAAACAACCAAAACCCACCCACCCCACGUCUUAGGAAUGUGUGUGUAGUGUUCCUAAAAUUACUUCCAUGUUGAGGUGCACAAAUUUCACCAGUGAGACGUGGAGGGGGUCAGACAUAUAGUAUAUAGGAAAGGUAAUGAGUCAUAUAGCAGAAUAUAGACUAAUAUAAAGGGGUUAAUUUAAGUUAUAAGGGCUAGCUGGGAAUAAGCCUAAACUAAAGCAAGGCAUUCAUAAGUAAUAAGUCUCCAUGCCAUUGUUGGGGAACUGGCAAAACAAAGAAAGUCUGACUACAGUUGGUCACCACCAAGAGAUGCAUGUUGAUACUACAUGCUUAGGGUUAUGUGUCAUGCUGAUUGUUAUGGUAGUGCAUGUGUGUCAUAGCUGGAUAGGACUGCUGUUUGUUUCCUUCCUCAGAAGCUUGUAUGGCAUGAAAGCUAGUCCUCAAGUGAGAGGCUUUCAGGUUAGUUCCAGGUCAGGGGCCCUCUGGGCCUGGCUUCUAAAGUGCAUGAUGUCUUCAUCAGUGGGGGCUCACCUUCCACCUCUGAGGGGCAACCAAGGACAAUAGCAACAGCUUGUACUUUCUGGGGAGUCUCUGUGAAAGAACUCAAGAGACAGCUUCUGUGUAUGAUGAUGGAGUUUCUCUUAGAUGGUCCUUGGCUUUGGGGAAAAACAUUGUCAGCCCAGACAAAAAUUUAUUUAUACGCAGACUUACAUUUAUUAUAGGGUGUUUUUAGGUAUAUUGUUAAUAGUACGGUUUCUUAUGAGUUUUUCAGACCUUGCUGGUUUUACCCUCCUCUCUUUGUUCUGUUUUUCUCUCUUCCUCCCCUAGUAAACCGUCUCAUUUUUCCUCUUUUCUCAAUAAGAUCACUUGUACUCUGAUAUCUCCCUCUCUAUUACUCCUUGAUCCCAAAAAAAUGGUUCCUUUUUACUCUCCUGGUUUCUGCUAUUACUCCAAGAUAUAUACCCCCAUAUGAAGGUUAUGGGCUAGGAGCCUCAGAUGAGAUAGACCAUGUUGGACUUUCUGGAUCUGAGUUACCUCACUUAGUAUGAUCUUUUCUAGUUCUAACCAUUUACCUGCAAAGCUCAUGGCUUUGGUUUCCUUUAUAGCCAAAUUCAUAUGACCCAGAUUUAUACAUCUUACCUGUAUUUGGCUGUUGGCCUCUAACUCUUUGAAGAUGUGAUAUGUAAAUCUAAGUACUUAAAAUUUAUGUUAUAUAUAUAUAUAUAUAUAUAUAUAUAUAUAUAUAUAAUUUCAAUACAUAAUCCCUUGGAAUUAUUUUUAAUCUAGUCAUUAUCAGCUUGGGAUAUGUGAUAACAAAACAUUAAAAUAGUUCUUGUCUAGUCAUAUUUUUUCUAACCAGAUAGCUAUAAAAAUAGCUGCUCAUUAAACUCAGGAUAUGUUCAUUAACUAUUAACAAAGUGUCUAGACAAUGCCACUCCAGUGGACAGCCAACUUUCAUCUGGAAUAAUCUAUUAUCUGUUCCAUAUCUGAUUUUCACCAAAGGCAAAAACAUUCUCAUUUCUAUGACUUGAAACUGACCUAUGUUGUCCCCAUAGUCAACCCUGUCCUCUGAUUCUUUUUGUUUGCUUUUUGCCCAUGCAAAAUGUGAUGAAUACAAAAAUUUCUGCCCCCCCCCAUUUCUCCCAACAAACUGCUCCUUUACAGAACUCUCUUUCUCACUCCCAUUGCUGUUACAAUAAAAAAAAAAGGGCUUUAGACUCAUAGAAACCUGGGUUACAAUUCCAGUUAUACCUGUUGCUUCAGGCUCAGCGGGUUGAUCCUUUGUAUCCUCAGUUGUACAAUGAAGCAACUGUAAGACAGUGAGGAGAGAAGAACAAUGUAGAGUUGGAUAACAAGGAAAACAUUCCAUGCAUUUUAGUCUCCUUGGAUUCCUCUGCAGUAGUCAAACAAUCAUUCCCUUGCUGCCAUCUUAUGGCAUUCUCCCCUUCUGACUUCUCCAUUGUAUAUCACCUCGACUGCACUCUAAGCACUUUAACAAAAAAAAAAAAAAAAAAAAAAGCAAUGCCUUUAGUUAUUCUGAAUUCUACUCUGUGUCUCUGGUGGCUUGAAAGGGAAUGACCCCCAAGGGGGUGGCACUAUUAGGAGGUAUGGCCCUGUUGGAGGAAGUGUAUCUCUGUGGGAUGGGCUUUGAGGUCUCUUUUCUCAAGCUUCCGUCAGUGUGACAGUCAGUUGACUUCCUGUUGCCUUCAAGAUGUAGCACUUUCAGCUAUCAGCAUCAUUUCUGCCUGUAUGCUGCCAUGAUGAUAAUGAACUGAAUCUCUGAAACUAUAAGCGAGCCACCUCACUGACAUCAGACACCAAGAUGCAAAGUUUGGAGUUUGUCUGGCUGGUUCUUGGUCUUGCUUCAGUCGAGUAUUUCCUCAGUAUGCUCAUUCCCUAAAUUUUAGAAUGGUAAGGUAUAUCCUGUACCAUUACAUGUUAGUGCAACCAACGUUGGUGGCACAUGCCUUUAAUCCCAGCACUUGGGAGACAGAAGCAGGCAGAUCUCAGUGAGUUUGAGGUUAGCCUGGUCUACAAAGCUAGUUCCAGGACUGCCAGGACUGUUACACAGAGAAAACCUGUCUCAAAAAAAAAAAAAAAAAAAGAUCUGCUGUUUGAUUGCCAUGCAUCUCAGAAGGGACUUAAAAUAGUAUGAGGCUGUUAUAGAGUUGAACUAAACCUCUGAAACUGUAAGUGAGCCACACUAGUUAAAUGCUUUCUUUAUAAGAGUUGCUGUGGUCGUGAUGUCCCUUCACAGCAAUAAAAACCUUAACUAAGACAGUGUCUUUCCUUGUAAUAAAUGAUCAACUGUUGGUUUUUGUUCUUAAUGCAGUAGGUCAUAUCACUAGUCCUUCCAUCAAUCCUUUUCUUAAGCUUGUCUUUCUCCAUGUAUAGUUUCCCAAGAAUACCACAGGGAGUGAAAGCUGGACCAGUAAGAAUCGCAGCCUCAAAUAGAAUUCAACUCCAGCCAACUAAGCGUCUCUAACAAAGGUCUACUUUUAGAUGUGUGUGGGCAGAGAUAAGAGAAUCAGAAAAACAUGGUGAGGCACCUAGAAGCUAGCAACAGAAGAAGCUCCUGUAUCCAUGAGCUGGAAGACAAAAUGCUGAGUAAAGGUGGGAGCUGUGGCCAUGAAGAUCCAUUUGCCAUGGGACAAAGAAAAGCAGAAGGUGUUUCAGGGGACCUAAUUGCCUGAAUUUACUCUCCUCUCAUACUUUGAUCUCCUGUUGGUGUUAAUUAUUCACUGAGUCUACUCAGAAGUUCUGGUAUGUGAUCCCUAGAGAUGAGAGUGUGGAGUUAAGAAGGAAGGGGAGAGAACUGAUCUUGGGUGGGAACAAAUGAAGAGUUACCAAUGCAGAGCAACCUUCCUCUGUGUGACCAAGUGUCUCAGAAUGUGUCAUGUUGCCUCACAGCACAAAACAGAAGGUAGGAGGAGUUCCAAAAGACUGGUCAAAGUGAAUAUUCCUGGCAUUAAAACAAGUCAAAGUCAUGAGCCUCCUGGCCUGUCACACACAGAAGGGUUUAUACAGACCUAGCAGAAAACAAACCAAGAUGGAGGUAGUUUACAGAGGGUCUUUCAACAUGGUCAAGAUCAUAAGCAAAAGAAAGAAAGGGCAACAUCUUCACAUUAAAUGGGGAUUAAAAGAGGCCCCCAAACUAAGUUCAACCUGAUACACUUGGUGUGAAAUUAGGUGAGAAAAAUUAUUGUACAAUUGGCAAAUUUUCAUGGAAUCUUUGGGUUAGAACACUGUGGUGCUCUCACCUUGAGCACUGUGUCAUGAGAAAAGGAGAGGAUGCCAAACAUCUUUUUUCUGUUGAACAGUCACAUGCACUUGGAAGUAAUUUGUCACAAAGGGUCAGUGUGCACACAUUACUUUAGAGAGAUGGCAUAAAGCCUAAGAGCACUGGUUGCUCUUCCAGAGACUCUAAGGUUCAAUUCCCAGCACCUACAUGGCGACCAACAACCAUCAGUAACUCCAGUUCCAUGGGAUCAGAUGCCCUCUUCUGGCCUCUGUGGGUACUUUGGGCAUGUGGUAUUUAUAUGUGCAAGUCAAGCUCUCAUACACAUAAAGUAGAAUUAAAUUAACCUUUUAAAAAUAUGUUUUGUGUGAAAGGGGGAGGAUGGAUAGAUAGAUAGAUAGAUAGAUAGAUAGAUAGAUAGAUAGAUAGAUAGAUAGGUAGAUGAUAGAUUGUGUGUGUGUGUGUGUGAGAGAGAGAGAGAGAGACAGAGAGAGAGAGAGAGAGAGAGAGAGAGAGAGAGAGAGAGCAUGAAAUUAUAUAUUAGGAGAAGAAGAACCAACAGUAGACUAAGUAUGCUGUUGACAGGAAGUACUCAUUUGCAUGGAGAGAAUUGGUCCCCCACUGUCUCAGUGGAGUCUCAUCAAAUACAUGCUUUUCAGAUGGCUGUAGGCACCCAAUGACUCCUACCAUUAUAGAGAGAAUUCUAUGCUUCUCAUGACAAUUUGUCUGAACAUUAUUAGCUGCUUCUCAUUCUUACUAGAAAUUAAAUUGUUACUUUAAAACUGAAAGAAAUUAGGUGAAGGAAAAGGUCCUGCUAUGUCUUGGUUGGAAGACUUGGCAUGAAACUGGAAUUUUCUGCCUCUUAUGUAAGGAAGUGAGUAAAUGAUGAGCAUAAUAUUUAUGCCAGCCUUACAAUAGAAUUAUUUUCCACCUCCAAAAUAGAACUGCUAAUAUAACAUUUGCUCUCUGGGGUGAAACAGUAUGCUUAUUUAGCCACUAUUUCAUCCUAUCCCCCAAGCAGUUGUUUGAAAAGACUAUGAUUGCAUAUAUUGAGCACACAUGUCUUUUGGAAGUCAGAAAUAAAACCAAUAACUGCAAUUAUUUUCCAUUCAAGGAAGGUACAAGUAAACCUACUAUGACUCUGAGCAAAGCUGGGAUGCAAAGCUAGCUCUAGGAUGCUUCUGAUGAGACCAAGGACAGCAUAUUUGUUGCAUGGUCAUUGCUUCUUAUGUGGGGAAUUUAGAGAUGGGGAAGCAUCCAUGUUUUUCAUGCUAUCUACUUCAAAGAUUUACACAGGACUCUCAGAAAAAGAAACAAUUCUAUGAAGCCAUCACAGUCUAGACUUGAGGGAGAAAGCCUGAUAUCCAAGUAAUAUUUUAUUAGGAUUAAGAGGCCCAGUUACUUCAUAUUAGCUUAAUUGAUACCCUUCACAGCAUUAUAAUUUUAAUGUACUUUCAAUUCAGCAAACAGGUUUUAAGUGCCUACUGUGUCCCAGGCACCAUAGAAAACUUGAUCAAAUAAAACUGCUUCCCAGGUCACCAUUUCCUUUUUCCAGAAAAAUAUGAUCUAGCAUGUGCAAUUUCUAUCAACAUAGGACUUCAUUUUGGUUACAUUUUAUUUAUUUCUUCUGGAAGGGUGCAUGUGUGCCAUUGUUGUAAUUUUUAAAGAAGUGCCACAUGAAAGAUGCCAUGUGACAUAGUUCAAAUGGAGGUUUUUUUAAUUAUUAUUAGAGAAAGGGAUCAUAAAAAGGGGAAAGGGGCGGGGGAGCAGCCUCCAGGGACAGGAACAGCAGUAGAGAGGAAAGAGAGGCAGAGAGAGAAAGAAAGAGAGGAGGAUGGGAGGUAGGCAGGGCCCUUUUAAAAGGGAAUGUAGUAAAUGUGCACAAGUGGUGCUCUUAGUGGCUGCAGUUGAAGGUGUAUCCUGUCAGAAUCCCAAGGGCAGGCCAGUACAGAUGCCUGAAUACUAACACAGGGAUUGUGUAGAGGUCAGAGCACAGCUUGUAAAAAUCAGUUCUCUUUCUUUCCACCACGUGGCUCCCAGGAAUCUAACUCAGUCCUCAGGCUUGGUGUCAAGUGGUUUUUUUUUUUUUCUACAACAUAUCUCAUCAACCCCCAAAUAGGACUUCCUCUAAGAACUAUACUGCAGGAAGGAAUAUUUCAGGAUAUUCACUAAGAGUAUGGCUUGGUUGUUACUGAGGACUAAAAGGAGGGCCCAUUCAUUAAUAGACUAAAGAGCUGCAGCCUCUAAAAUUCCUUCUUAGGUAGUUGGGUCACAUAAUAAUUUGUUUGUUAAAGUAUAUUCUUUUGUUAAGACAUAGUUGGAUAUCAAAACCACAAUUUUGACUACUACAUCUGGUUUGGUAAUGCAAUCUGAAAUAAACAGGUGUCCUGUUGACUAGCAUAAUUGCCUUGC
This 12044-nucleotide long non-coding RNA is filed under the name Cricetulus griseus (Chinese hamster). RNAcentral's name for it is "lncRNA (ENSCGRG00015029183.1)". Lineage: Eukaryota; Metazoa; Chordata; Mammalia; Rodentia; Cricetidae. The record is from RNAcentral.